Long non-coding RNA from Lampris incognitus (smalleye Pacific opah), 269 nucleotides. RefSeq lists it as uncharacterized. The transcript has 4 exons. NCBI's taxonomy places the organism in Eukaryota, Metazoa, Chordata, Actinopteri, Lampriformes, Lampridae. The record is from RefSeq and is a predicted model, not a curated record.
GACUGGCUCUUCUUGGCACUUCUCUUGGCGAUCAACUUCAUCAAAAUGGAUUUCUACACUGUGGGAUCAGACUGACACUUCUUGACACUAUUUUGGUUAGGCAAGGACAUUUAAAUUUGGAACUGACUGACCAAAAGUCAAUGAUUCCAGAUGGACACAACAUCCCAGUAAUGUCCUCAUGUGGCUGCAUACAGUCUACCACAAACAAAGGAGGCUUUCAAUCCAACCGCUUCACGUGAAGGUUGGACGAUUUGGAGACAAAGCAAGAG